GAUGAACGCUGGCGGCGUGCCUAAUACAUGCAAGUCGAGCGAACAGACGAGGAGCUUGCUCCUCUAACGUUAGCGGCGGACGGGUGAGUAACACGUGGAUAACCUACCUAUAAGACUGGGAUAACUUCGGGAAACCGGAGCUAAUACCGGAUAAUAUAUUGAACCGCAUGGUUCAAUAGUGAAAGACGGUUUUGCUGUCACUUAUAGAUGGAUCCGCGCCGCAUUAGCUAGUUGGUAAGGUAACAGCUUACCAAGGCAACGAUGCGUAGCCGACCUGAGAGGGUGACCGGCCACACUGGAACUGAGACACGGUCCAGACUCCUACGGGAGGCAGCAGUAGGGAAUCUUCCGCAAUGGGCGAAAGCCUGACGGAGCAACGCCGCGUGAGUGAUGAAGGUCUUCGGAUCGUAAAACUCUGUUAUUAGGGAAGAACAAAUGUGUAAGUAACUAUGCACGUCUUGACGGUACCUAAUCAGAAAGCCACGGCUAACUACGUG
This 497-nucleotide ribosomal RNA is filed under the name uncultured bacterium. RNAcentral's name for it is "partial 16S ribosomal RNA". It matches the Rfam family "Bacterial small subunit ribosomal RNA", at positions 28 to 507 of the family's 1533-position model. The record is from RNAcentral.